Long non-coding RNA from Brienomyrus brachyistius, 1015 nucleotides. RefSeq lists it as uncharacterized. The transcript has 3 exons. The record is from RefSeq and is a predicted model, not a curated record. Lineage: Eukaryota; Metazoa; Chordata; Actinopteri; Osteoglossiformes; Mormyridae.
GUCAAAGUGGCCGCGCUGAAAUCUAAUCGCUCACGGACGCUGCGCUCCACUGAUCAAGCCAGGUUUUGCCUCUGCUGAGUGGGUGGCUGUGUGGCACCUCUGCUGACGUCACAGCUGGGAUGAGGUGAUGAGUACCUGGAUGACCGAUGAAGAAAGAUCAGCACAUUAAGGGCUCACCCAUCUAGUCAGAUUGACUGUGACCUUCAUCCGGUUUCAGGAAGAGCCCUCAGUGAGGUCAAGUAUGAUACGUUUCACUCAUGCAUGAUGUCUAUGGCUGAACCAUAAAUGUAACCCUUCCAGCCAGAGAGGAGCUAGGCUUCGUGCAGAACCACACGUAUGGAGGCCGUGUCCGCUACUCUCCCUCGACCAGCUGCCUGCUGCCUUUCCUUUGGGUGGAACCAAAUCAUACUGUACCACUCUUAGCCUGCCAACAUUACAGUCGCCAUGGUGAUGAGACUGAUUAAUGAUACGCCGAAGUAUAACCAGUGUGUUUGCUUGGCUCCCCUGUUCCUACAAUUGACUUCUGGCCCGUGCAAAGAUGUUGCGAUAUAAGAUGGAAUGCAUCUAUUGUGUCGAUCAGCUCUGGAGAGUCCAUGAAUGUGGAGAAAGAACGCUGUGCUUGGUGACUGUUUAAACAAGAUAUUAUAAAUAAGCAGUGAAAAAGAACAACAUGCCGAAUGGAAGAAGAUAUGAGCUAUUAACUUCCAAAGGUGGUCCAUCUGCUCCGAGAAAUGGACAGCUAACAGAAACCAGAAAAGUCAUAAAAAAUUAUCAAAACCGCAGUGCAGGAUCAGAGAGCGCAACAAUUAUCUCAUUCAAACAUUUUCUAAUAUUAUGAAAUUAAAUUGAACUUUUUAAAUAACAAUAAAAAAAUACAUGACAACAGUUAAUUUACUAUAAUAAUAAGUAAUAGUACUUCUAGUAGUUUACAUUAAAAUUAGUAAAUAGUUAUUGCUGGUAAUAUAAAUACUAGUUAAAGGAUUGUAAAAUGCAGCCCUCAUGGAUUUAAUUAUGA